Oxobacter pfennigii is the source of this 92-nucleotide regulatory RNA element. It matches the Rfam family "pan motif". NCBI's taxonomy places the organism in Bacteria, Bacillati, Bacillota, Clostridia, Eubacteriales, Clostridiaceae. The record is from Rfam.
GCGGCGGUAUCUCUAUGAGCUGCACGCAAAUUGAGGGCUUUUCCGGCAAAGUUUUAAAAUCUGCUUUGAUCCUUUGUGACAGAGAUAGGUAC